AGAAUCAACGCUGGCGGCGUGCCUAACACAUGCAAGUCGCACGAGAAAGGGACUUCGGUCCUGAGUACAGUGGCGCACGGGUGAGUAACACGUGAAUCAUCUACCUCCGAGUGGGGAAUAACCUAGAGAAAUCUGGGCUAAUACCGCAUAACACUUACGAGUCAAAGCAGCAAUGCGCUUGGAGAGGAGUUCGCGGCAGAUUAGUUAGUUGGCGGGGUAAUGGCCCACCAAGACGAUGAUCUGUAUCCGGCCUGAGAGGGCGCACGGACACACUGGAACUGAAACACGGUCCAGACUCCUACGGGAGGCAGCAGUGGGGAAUUUUGCGCAAUGGGGGAAACCCUGACGCAGCAACGCCGCGUGGAGGAUGAAAUAUCUUGGUAUGUAAACUCCUUUCGAUGGGGAAGAUAAUGACGGUACCCAUAGAAGAAGCCCCGGCUAACUUCGUGCCAGCAGCCGC
Molecule: ribosomal RNA, 460 nt
Filed under: uncultured bacterium
Lineage: Bacteria
Description: SSU rRNA
Rfam family: Bacterial small subunit ribosomal RNA
Source: RNAcentral